UGGGGAAUCUUGCACAAUGGGGGCAACCCUGAUGCAGCGACGCCGCGUGAGCGAUGAAGCCCUUCGGGGCGUAAAGCUCUUCCGACCGGAACGAUAAUGACGGUACCGGGAGAAGAAGCUGCGGCUAACUACGUGCCAGCAGCCGCGGUAAUAAGUAGGCAGCAAGCGUUGUUCGGAGUUACUGGGCGUAAAGAGUGCGUAGGCGGUUUUCUAAGUUCGGUGUGAAAUCUCCCGGCUUAACUGGGAGGGUGCGCCGAAGACUGGGAAGCUGGAGUGUGGGAAAGGCAGGCGGAAUUCCUGGUGUAGCGGUGAAAUGCGUAGAUAUCAGGAGGAACACCGGCGGUGUAGACGGCUUGCUAGACCAUAACUGACGCUGAGGCACGAAAGCGUGGGUAGCAAACA
RNAcentral lists this ribosomal RNA (402 nucleotides) under uncultured bacterium. RNAcentral's name for it is "bacterial SSU rRNA". It matches the Rfam family "Bacterial small subunit ribosomal RNA", at positions 355 to 774 of the family's 1533-position model. The record is from RNAcentral.